This 497-nucleotide ribosomal RNA is filed under the name uncultured bacterium. Its description in RNAcentral is "partial 16S ribosomal RNA". It matches the Rfam family "Bacterial small subunit ribosomal RNA", at positions 28 to 507 of the family's 1533-position model. The record is from RNAcentral.
GAUGAACGCUGGCGGCGUGCCUAAUACAUGCAAGUCGAGCGAACAGACGAGGAGCUUGCUCCUCUGACGUUAGCGGCGGACGGGUGAGUAACACGUGGAUAACCUACCUAUAAGACUGGGAUAACUUCGGGAAACCGGAGCUAAUACCGGAUAAUAUAUUGAACCGCAUGGUUCAAUAGUGAAAGACGGUUUUGCUGUCACUUAUAGAUGGAUCCGCGCCGCAUUAGCUAGUUGGUAAGGUAACGGCUUACCAAGGCAACGAUUCGUAGCCGACCUGAGAGGGUGAUCGGCCACACUGGAACUGAGACACGGUCCAGACUCCUACGGGAGGCAGCAGUAGGGAAUCUUCCGCAAAGGGCGAAAGCCUGACGGAGCAACGCCGCGUGAGUGAUGAAGGUCUUCGGAUCGUAAAACUCUGUUAUUAGGGAAGAACAAAUGUGUAAGUAACUAUGCACGUCUUGACGGUACCUAAUCAGAAAGCCACGGCUAACUACGCG